UACGUAGGGUGCAAGCGUUGUCCGGAAUUAUUGGGCGUAAAGAGCUCGUAGGCGGUCUGUUGCGUCGGCUGUGAAAACCCGGGGCUCAACCCCGGGCCUGCAGCCGAUACGGGCAGACUAGAGUUCGGCAGGGGAGACUGGAAUUCCUGGUGUAGCGGUGAAAUGCGUAGAGAUGUGGAGGAACACCAAUGGCGAAGGCAGCCUUCUGGGCCAACACUGACGCUCAUGCACGAAAGCGUGGGGAGCAAACAGG
This 253-nucleotide ribosomal RNA is filed under the name uncultured bacterium. Its description in RNAcentral is "partial 16S ribosomal RNA". It matches the Rfam family "Bacterial small subunit ribosomal RNA", at positions 524 to 776 of the family's 1533-position model. The record is from RNAcentral.